GAGGGUAUAGCUCAAGUGGUAGAGCACAUGCUUAGCAUGCAUGAGGUCCUGGGUUCAAUUCCCAGUAUCUCCU
RNAcentral lists this transfer RNA (73 nucleotides) under Camelus bactrianus (Bactrian camel). It matches the Rfam family "tRNA". From Rfam's summary of the family: Transfer RNA (tRNA) molecules are approximately 80 nucleotides in length. RNAcentral also lists the same sequence under 2 other names. The record is from Rfam by way of RNAcentral. Lineage: Eukaryota; Metazoa; Chordata; Mammalia; Artiodactyla; Camelidae.